Molecule: transfer RNA, 85 nt
Filed under: Felis catus (domestic cat)
Lineage: Eukaryota; Metazoa; Chordata; Mammalia; Carnivora; Felidae
Rfam family: tRNA
About the family: Transfer RNA (tRNA) molecules are approximately 80 nucleotides in length. Their secondary structure includes four short double-helical elements and three loops (D, anti-codon, and T loops). Further hydrogen bonds mediate the characteristic L-shaped molecular structure. tRNAs have two regions of fundamental functional importance: the anti-codon, which is responsible for specific mRNA codon recognition, and the 3' end, to which the tRNAs corresponding amino acid is attached (by aminoacyl-tRNA synthetases). tRNAs cope with the degeneracy of the genetic code in two manners: having more than one tRNA (with a specific anti-codon) for a particular amino acid; and 'wobble' base-pairing, i.e. permitting non-standard base-pairing at the 3rd anti-codon position.
Source: Rfam by way of RNAcentral
GCCUGGGUGGUUCCAUCGGUUGAGCAUCUGACUUCAACUCAGAUCAUGAUCUCACAGCUUGUGAGUUCAAGCCCCACAUCAGGCU